This 684-nucleotide ribosomal RNA is filed under the name uncultured Lachnospiraceae bacterium. Its description in RNAcentral is "bacterial SSU rRNA". It matches the Rfam family "Bacterial small subunit ribosomal RNA", at positions 54 to 739 of the family's 1533-position model. Lineage: Bacteria; Bacillati; Bacillota; Clostridia; Lachnospirales; Lachnospiraceae. The record is from RNAcentral.
CAUGCAAGUCGAACGGGAAACUUUUCAUUGAAGCUUCGGCAGAUUUGGUCUGUUUCUAGUGGCGGACGGGUGAGUAACGCGUGGGUAACCUGCCUUAUACAGGGGGAUAACAACCAGAAAUGGUUGCUAAUACCGCAUAAGCGCACAGGACCGCAUGGUCCGGUGUGAAAAACUCCGGUGGUAUAAGAUGGACCCGCGUUGGAUUAGCUAGUUGGCAGGGUAACGGCCUACCAAGGCGACGAUCCAUAGCCGGCCUGAGAGGGUGAACGGCCACAUUGGGACUGAGACACGGCCCAGACUCCUACGGGAGGCAGCAGUGGGGAAUAUUGCACAAUGGGGGAAACCCUGAUGCAGCGACGCCGCGUGAAGGAAGAAGUAUCUCGGUAUGUAAACUUCUAUCAGCAGGGAAGAUAGUGACGGUACCUGACUAAGAAGCCCCGGCUAACUACGUGCCAGCAGCCGCGGUAAUACGUAGGGGGCAAGCGUUAUCCGGAUUUACUGGGUGUAAAGGGAGCGUAGACGGACUGGCAAGUCUGAUGUGAAAGGCGGGGGCUCAACCCCUGGACUGCAUUGGAAACUGUUAGUCUUGAGUGCCCGAGAGGUAAGCGGAAUUCCUAGUGUAGCGGUGAAAUGCGUAGAUAUUAGGAGGAACACCAGUGGCGAAGGCGGCUUACUGGACGGUAA